GAUGAACGCUGGCGGCGUGCCUAAUACAUGCAAGUCGAGCGAACGGACGAGAAUCUUGCUUCUCUGAUGUUAGCGGCGGACGGGUGAGUAACACGUGGAUAACCUACCUAUAAGACUGGUAUAACUUCGGGAAACCGGAGCUAAUACCGGAUAAUAUUUUGAACCGCAUGGUUCAAAAGUGAAAGUCGGUCUUGCUGUCACUUAUAGAUGGAUCCGCGCUGCAUUAGCUAGUUGGUAAGGUAACGGCUUACCAAGGCAACGAUGCAUAGCCGACCUGAGAGGGUGAUCGGCCAAACUGGAACUGAGACACGGACCAGACUCCUACGGGAGGCAGCAGUAGGGAAUGUUCCGCAAUGGGCGAAAGCAUGACGGAGCAACGCCGCGUGAGUGAUGAAGGUCUUCGGAUCGUAAAACUCUGUUAUUAGGGAAGAACAUAUGUGUAAGUAACUGUGCACAUGUUGACGGUAACUAAUCAGAAAGCCACGGCUAACUACGUG
RNAcentral lists this ribosomal RNA (497 nucleotides) under uncultured bacterium. Its description in RNAcentral is "partial 16S ribosomal RNA". It matches the Rfam family "Bacterial small subunit ribosomal RNA", at positions 28 to 507 of the family's 1533-position model. The record is from RNAcentral.